This 378-nucleotide ribosomal RNA is filed under the name uncultured eukaryote. RNAcentral describes it as "SSU rRNA". It matches the Rfam family "Eukaryotic small subunit ribosomal RNA", at positions 587 to 972 of the family's 1831-position model. The record is from RNAcentral.
AGCUCCAAUAGCGUAUAUUAAAGUUGUUGCGGUUAAAACGCUCGUAGUUGAUAUUCUGCUGGCAAUUCGGGGUACGCCCUAGUGGCGAUAACUUCAGGAAGUGCUUGCAUCAUCUUAGGGAAUGAUAUUGCACUUCGCUGUGCGAUUCAGAAACUAGGUCAUUUACUUUGAGGAAAUCGAAGUGCUCCAAGCAAGCAUACGCUUUGAACAUUGUAGCAUGGAAUAAUCUUACAAACUCUACUGACAUAGAUGAAUCUGUCAGUGGAGGUUAUGAGGAAUAGAAACAAAUGGGGGCAUUCGUAUUUAACUGCUAGAGGUGAAAUUCUUGGAUUUGUUAAAGACGAUCAACUGCGAAGGCACCUGCCAAGGAUGUUUUCA